CUGGCAAGCAUGAGGUCCUGAGUUCAAGUUCCAGUACCAAAAAAAAAAAAAAAAAAAAAAAAAAAACUACAGCAGAUCCAUUGCACCAGCCACUGGACAGCAGUGAAAAAGCCACGACCUUGUCUUCCAAAUCAGUCAUUUACCAAAAACAAAAACAAAAACAAAAACAAAAACCCUCUAUUCUGAAGAUAUUCGACUCAUCCAAGCAAAAUAAAACCCUAGAAUUCUUAGAACUUCUACAUCAAAUGCUAAACCAGGUCUCCUAAACCACGCAAGACGCUGGUGAUGUGAGCUCGGAGGAGAAGAUCGCUGCUGAACCCACUCUUUUUCUGCCUUCCCCACCGACAGUGUUUGCUAUCCACACUCCUAAGCGCACCCGGGCCCUCGGGGACACCUGCCCCAGGCCGCGUCCUCGCGCGUGUGGGCCACAUACCUGUUGUUUUCUUUCUUUCUUUUUCUUUCUUUUUUUCUUAUUUUGCUGUAAUCCAGUUAAAUAUUUGUCCAGGUCCCCGUGAGUUUGCUUUGGUUUUUCCAGGUAUGUUUCCCUUCUGUUUGUUUUUUCUUAAUUUUUUUUUAAAUUUUUUGUCUGUCUGAGAUAGGGUGUCGCUAUGCGGUUCAGGCUGGACUUGAGCUCACUGUGUAACCCAGGCUGGUCUCAAACUCCUAAGGAUCCUCCUGCCUCAGCCUCCUGAACACUGGGGUUGCAGGCGUGCGCCCCACACCCAGCGUCUGUGUCUUGGUUUAGAGCCGUGUAUGACCCCUGUGAUUAUGAGGAGCCCAGGGUAGAUAGGCCGAGCUCGCGCUAAUCCUCACACCGACACUGCGAAAUAGAUCUUAGUGUCCCCAUUUGAGAGACAAGGAAAGAUGCCCAGAGAGGCCAAGUGGCUUCCCGGGGUCACCCAGCUGCUGGGCGGCGGGGUCAGAGCGGCUGCCAGGUCCCGGGCUGCUCUGGCUAAGGCGGCCGCAGAGCCCGCAGCUCCCCGGGCUCCCGGCAGGUGGCGCUGCGGCCCCCGAUCAGCAGGAGCGCCCAGCCCGCCCUUUUGUCUCCCAGGCGGCUGCAGCCCGGAGGUCACCCCGACCGCAGCUCGGGAAGGCGGCGAUGGCGCAGAAGCCCUGGAAAGGGACAGCAGCGCGCUGAGUCUCUCCGGACUCUUCCAGUUGGACGAUAGCUGUGAAACGGCUGGAACCCUGGAGACAGGAAGAGACCGUGAUGAGCAGGAAAGGGCGCUGAGCAGCGUGGAAGAGGAGCACGCAGGCAUCCAGCCACCCACGGCGCCACCCAGCGUCCCCUUUCCAGAGGACUGACCUUCGGCGCCAUGCAUUGCUCUAAGCUGGCCAGGCUGCACACCAUCCGCCUCCUAGGGAGAGAGAGGCUGCCGUGGUACUGUGAUUACACUCUUAUUCCUCAAGGCAAGAGGCCGUAGCUCGGCCAUGGAUGUGCCCCCAGUUCACGCCCAAGGACUCACGGCACCUGACUUCAGGCGCUGCAUCCUGGGAUGUCAGAUGUGUGGCGGCAUCGCGGGCCUCUACCCAGGAGGUAUCAGCGGCACACCAUGCCAUGCCUGCCUUCCCACCCCGAACAGUGACAAUCAGUGUUGCCUUCACUGCUGCCAAAGUCCCUGGGGACCCACUCAGCCAGCAGGGGAGCCAUCUGUGUGCCACCUCUCCCCACCCGAGAGAAUGCCAAGCACUGACCCUCGCCAUGGUGGCUCCGCACGGUUGCUAUAGAUUUGUACAUUUUAAAAUUUAUGUUAGUUACUUUCAGCUAUUUUUUAUUUUACCUUCAUUCCUUUUCACUUGUUUUAGGGUUUCUAUUUUAUACUUUUAGUUACAUUUCAAACAUAUUUUCACAGCAAAUUUGUGUUUGGUUUUCAUUUUUCAGUUAUUUAAAGUUACUUUAUUUUGAGCCACAGAGUUCAGAUUAAUUGGAUUGUAAUUACUUACUUUUAAUGAUGUAUCUUUAUUAAUGUCUGAGUUUUGGUUUUUGGAGUUUUUGAGUUACUUAUUUUUAUAGCUACUUGACUGAAACUCACUGAAAGAUUUUGAGUUAUCUAUUUUUAGAGUGACACGUUCUUAGUCGCCUCAGACUCUCCUGAGUUACUUCGUUUUAGAGUUGCUCAUGGCCACAGAGUUUUUAAUUCCGUUAUUUUAGAGUCUGGAAUUUUUUCAUUCAUCUAUUUAUUAGUUAGUUUAUGUUACUUGGUGUUUAAUUAUUUGAUUUCCAAGGGUUAUUUUCCAACAUUGUAUUUCUGAAUCUUUAUGCUCACUUCAUUCUUUUCAUUACUUGCCGUUGCUUAGCUCUGGCUUUCCAGUUAUGUCUCUGCCAUUGGAAUGCAUUCUCUUCAUUUUUACAUGGCUCCUUUGAUUUAUUUUCAAAGUCAGUUAAGGUUAGAAUUACUUAGUAUAUCAACCAAUUUGAGAGAGAAAGAGAGAGGGAGAGAGAGAGAGAGAAAGAGGCUGGCCCAGUUAUGUUAACAGAGGAAUUCAGUGCUCCAGCAGUCAGAGAGUUUGGGAAGCAGUGAUACUGGGUGGAGAUGGUGGAGAUUUUACCUGCAAGAAGCAGCCACCAUCCCAGAGGCAAGGUGGAGACAAAGAGGAGAGGCUGGAAUUCUCCAAACUCAGACAUCUGGGGACAGCGGCUCUGGGCUCUAAGUAGACCAGGUCUGGGUCUCUGCAGGGGCACAACAGGAUGGUUUUGUUUUGCUUUGUUUUUGUAUUUUUGAGACAGGGUAUAUUACCAUAUGGUUCAGGCUGGCCUUGAACUCACUGUGUAGCCCAGGCUGGCCUCAAACUCAUAGCAAUCCUCCUGCUUCAGCCUCCCAAGGACUGGGAUUACAGGGGUAUACACCAUGCCCGGUUAACAACAGGGGUUGACGGGAGAGUUGGAGCCCCCAUGACUUCUGGGUGGGGAUAUUCCGGGGAGGCUGGCAGGAUCCAUGAGGGCACCUGUGUCUCCUCCACAGAGGAGGAGACAGAGAAGUCCCAGGCUCCCUCCCCAGCACCUCCAGCCCAGGACUAGUUAGUUCUGGUUCAGCGCUGGGAACUUUUAGAGGUGCCUAAACUUUGAGUGUCCCCCGGCUGCGGCCCGGUCUUGCGUCCUGGUUAUUUCUAGAGCUGCUAAGCCCAUCAGACCCAAGAAGACGCUCUGUCUCCCCAUGAGCACACAGGAAGCUGCCUUAGAACUUCAGAAAAUAAAGCCGGUGUGUUCCACUGAAUCCAUGACGGAAGGUCAGAGGUCACAGAGGGACAGAGACCCAGGGACAGGUGUCGGGGAGGCCCCAGGGAACCUCUGUCCUGCGAUCCCGAACUGCAGACCCUGCCUCUCUAGUCUCCUCUGCUACAGUGCGGUCUUUCUUGCUAAGUGUCUGAAGUGUAUAGACUUCUGCACAACAAAAUAAACUUCUUCCUGAUCUGUACAGUCUGCAACCAGAG
This 3432-nucleotide long non-coding RNA is filed under the name Cavia porcellus (domestic guinea pig). Its description in RNAcentral is "lncRNA (ENSCPOG00000030754.1)". Lineage: Eukaryota; Metazoa; Chordata; Mammalia; Rodentia; Caviidae. The record is from RNAcentral.